This 192-nucleotide non-coding RNA is filed under the name Scytonema hofmannii. Lineage: Bacteria; Bacillati; Cyanobacteriota; Cyanophyceae; Nostocales; Scytonemataceae. The record is from RNAcentral.
AGCUAAGAUAUCAAAGCAAACGUGAACUGUAACGGAAUAGGGAAACGCCGGUGCAAGUCCGGGGCUGUGCCGCAGCUGUAAACGGAUUUUAGAUUUUAGAUUUUAGAUUUUGGAUUAUUCUCAUCCAAAAUCCACGCAUCCAAAAUCCAAAAUUGCGUUAGCCAGAACGCCUAUUUAUUACCUGCUCACUCU